CCCCCCCCCCCCGGUUUAAUAUAAUAGAAUUUAAAAUGCUCAAAACCUAAUAACAUUUGUCGAGCAUCCCUAAUAUAUCCACUGAUUUUCAAUCUGUCAAUCCCGGCAUGUUUGAGUUUGGAGAUGACCAUUGCUGAAUCCCCUUCUAGCUCCACCCGUCGAAGCCCUAGAUCCCUGGCAAAUUGAACAGCAUGCACACAGGCCAAUGCCUCCGCAACCGCCGCAUCAGAAUGGAGAUGACCAUAGAAUCCAGCAUCAAAGUUUACUCGAACCCACGUGUCAAUUGGAGGCUUCUAAACCAACAAGUCAGUAGUCUCCGAAUAUACGCGCUCCUUCAACAAAGAAUCCAUCUCUCUGGCAUAACCCAGCACAAAGAUAAGUAAAUCCUAACUAGAUUGAUAGAUUCCCUCAUGAAUGAUUCCAAAUAGCCCAAAUGGUGAUGAUGGAUAAUUGAGUUUGCUUCUCAUCCUUCCCAAACAGUUGUCCUAUCCAUGCAAUGGGUACAUCAACUAAAUCAUCUGAAAGAGUCCAAUUAAAACCCCCAAUUGUUGUCAAAUUUCUAUUACUCCAGGACAGUCUUUGCACGCAUGAAGAUUUGUUUCUAGACCAAUACCGCACCGCGGGUGCAUUUUCUAUCCACCCCACUCUUGCGUUGAAAUAGAUUAGAUUUUGUGGGGAUGUAAUUGUUAAUAAAUCGCUAGCAUGUAAUUUUCAUAUUUUCAGGCACAUGAGCCUCCCAUAAUUUUCUGUAAAUAAUUCUUGUAUCCUGCCCAAUGUUGUUGUAUUUGUCUCCUCCGUCCUUGGGAAACCCCGCAGCAGCAAUCUGUACCUACUGCAGACAGUAUACUCCCCAGACCCUUCCGGAUACCAUUUCCACCGAUCGUUCAAGUCAUGAGAAGCUAAUGGGAUACUCAAGAUUUUAUCCACCUCUUGGUUGAUUCCCAGGAAGCCAUACAUCUUCCAAUAUUGAUAUCGAAUGCCCAUUUCCAACAUGUCAACCACAACUCAUCUGUAAAAGGCCCUUUGCAGCCCAAAUACUCCACCAAACCAAAGAAGGUUCACAGAUGAGAAAUGGGGUGAAACUGCAAUUGAAACUUGGGAGGAGUUUCAAAAGGAGUUGAAAAAUCAGUUUUACCCAUAGUACACUAAGGAGGAGGCUUGGACUAAGUUGUAUUGGCUUAAGGAACACGACACUGCUCAAAAGUAUGCCAAAAACUUAAAUGAAUUUAUGCUUCAAAUCUCUGACCUAAGUGAGAAAGAAGCAUUCCACCAGUUUAAGCAUGGGUUGAAGCCUUGGGCAAAACAGGAGUUGUGCUGACAAAGGCAUCACCAAACUUACCAUGUCCAUGGCUGAGGCAGAGUCUUUUUCGAGCUUGGUCCAAGGAAAAACAAGUUCGAGUUUUCCAAGCCCAAAGAGACGGGCAAUGAUGGGGAAGACCAUGAGGAAGAACAAGAUCAAAAUGAAAACGGUGAAAAUGGUAAAAACAAUGGUAAUGAAAAAGCACAUAAUGAAAGCCUAACAACAAAUCGAGGGGCAGGUAAAUUAUGUUGUUAAUGGGAAACCACAUAAUGGUGGUAAUGGUGCUAAUUACAGUAUUUAGAAUAAUUUAAUUUAACGUUUUUCAUACAGAUGAUUAAUUUUGAAUGCCCACAUGAAGAAACAUGCAUUCUAUAGAUUUUAAGCAAAUUUUUACGAUGAUUGCAACAAAGCAUAAAGUAGGAAAAUUAUCUUAUGAACUG
This is a long non-coding RNA of Gossypium raimondii (Peruvian cotton), 1740 nucleotides long. RefSeq lists it as uncharacterized. NCBI's taxonomy places the organism in Eukaryota, Viridiplantae, Streptophyta, Magnoliopsida, Malvales, Malvaceae. The transcript has 4 exons. The record is from RefSeq and is a predicted model, not a curated record.